UGUGACAACAAAUACAUUUAUUUCUCACAUUCCUCUGACCAAUACUGCAGCGGUCCACAGUGGGCCGCCAGGAUCCAGUGCUCUGACUGGGGGUCUCUGCAAAAUCAGCUCAUAGGGAACAUGCUUAACACACUUGGAAAAGAUUUGCUGUGGAUGCUCCUGAAGCACUCACGGAGUCAAUUGCAGUUACUUCGAAAAUAAUCGAGUAGCCUGGGGAUACACAAGAAGUUGGGAGGGGACACGGACAGGACAGCUGACCCCAACUGACUGAAGGGAUAUCCUAUACCAUAUGACACUGAUAAAAAGCUCAAGGAAAGGAGGAGGAAGUGGGAAUGUUUGGAGUGAUGGCCUUUGUCUCCACAUGUAACCAUUACACGUGACGGAGCCCUGCUUUCCUGGGGAUGGCUGA
This is a non-coding RNA of Phalacrocorax carbo (great cormorant), 409 nucleotides long. Lineage: Eukaryota; Metazoa; Chordata; Aves; Suliformes; Phalacrocoracidae. The record is from RefSeq and is a predicted model, not a curated record.